AUCGCUGUCCGUUCCGCAAAACUCCGCAAGUUGAAAGUUUUUGGCAUGAUAUCAGGUAAGUAACGGCGCCGCUUGGAAUGGUUUCCACAUACCCUUGUGCAUGUGCACCGCCUUAUAUUUUCCUCCACUCAUGUACUUUAGG
This 142-nucleotide small nuclear RNA is filed under the name Mus musculus (house mouse). Lineage: Eukaryota; Metazoa; Chordata; Mammalia; Rodentia; Muridae. The record is from RNAcentral.